This 85-nucleotide transfer RNA is filed under the name Paracoccaceae bacterium. Its description in RNAcentral is "tRNA-Leu(tag)". It matches the Rfam family "tRNA". Rfam says of the family: Transfer RNA (tRNA) molecules are approximately 80 nucleotides in length. Lineage: Bacteria; Pseudomonadati; Pseudomonadota; Alphaproteobacteria; Rhodobacterales; Paracoccaceae. The record is from RNAcentral.
GCGGAUGUGGCGGAAUUGGUAGACGCACCAGAUUUAGGUUCUGGCGCCUUCGGGCGUGGAGGUUCAAGUCCUCUCAUCCGCACCA